Molecule: non-coding RNA, 45 nt
Filed under: Trichobilharzia regenti
Lineage: Eukaryota; Metazoa; Platyhelminthes; Trematoda; Strigeidida; Schistosomatidae
Source: RNAcentral
AUCCAGAUGACAAGUCUCAAAUAAGACGAAAUCUGAAUCCUGGAU